Molecule: transfer RNA, 72 nt
Filed under: Actinoplanes awajinensis subsp. mycoplanecinus
Lineage: Bacteria; Bacillati; Actinomycetota; Actinomycetes; Micromonosporales; Micromonosporaceae
Rfam family: tRNA
About the family: Transfer RNA (tRNA) molecules are approximately 80 nucleotides in length.
Source: Rfam by way of RNAcentral
GGACCCGUGGAGCAGCGGAACGCUCACCAGGCCCUCAACCUGGAGACGCCGGUUCGAUCCCGGUCGGGUCUA